CCAAUAGCGUAUAUUAAAGUUGUUGUGGUUAAAAAGCUCGUAGUUGAACCUUGGGCCUGGCUGGCCGGUCCGCCUCACCGCGUGCACUGGUCCGGCCGGGCCUUUCCCUCUGCGGAACCCCAUGCCCUUCACUGGGUGUGGCGGGGAAACAGGACUUUUACUUUGAAAAAAUUAGAGUGCUCAAGGCAGGCCUAUGCUCGAAUACAUUAGCAUGGAAUAAUAGAAUAGGACGUGUGGUUCUAUUUUGUUGGUUUCUAGGACCGCCGUAAUGAUUAAUAGGGACAGUCGGGGGCAUCAGUAUUCAAUUGUCAGAGGUGAAAUUCUUGGAUUUAUUGAAGACUAACUACUGCGAAAGCAUUUGCCAAGGAUGUUUUCAUUAAUCAGUGAACGAAAGUUAGGGGAUCGAAGACGAUCAGAUACCGUCGUAGUCUUAACCGUAAACUAUGCCGACUAGGGAUCGGGCGAUGUUCUUUUUUUUGACUCGCUCGGCACCUUACG
This 498-nucleotide ribosomal RNA is filed under the name uncultured Paraglomus. RNAcentral's name for it is "SSU rRNA". It matches the Rfam family "Eukaryotic small subunit ribosomal RNA", at positions 591 to 1092 of the family's 1831-position model. Lineage: Eukaryota; Fungi; Glomeromycota; Glomeromycetes; Paraglomerales; Paraglomeraceae. The record is from RNAcentral.